RNAcentral lists this ribosomal RNA (578 nucleotides) under uncultured bacterium. Its description in RNAcentral is "partial 16S ribosomal RNA". It matches the Rfam family "Bacterial small subunit ribosomal RNA", at positions 355 to 1376 of the family's 1533-position model. The record is from RNAcentral.
UAAGGAAUAUUGGUCAAUGGGCGGAAGCCUGAACCAGCCAUGCCGCGUGCAGGAUGACUGCCCUAUGGGUUGUAAACUGCUUUUGUCCAGGAAUAAACCUAGAUACGUGUAUCUAGCUGAAUGUACUGGAAGAAUAAGGAUCGGCUAACUCCGUGCCAGCAGCCGCGGUAAUACGGAGGAUCCGAGCGUUAUCCGGAUUUAUUGGGUUUAAAGGGUGCGUAGGCGGCCUAUUAAGUCAGGGGUGAAAUACGGUGGCUCAACCAUCGCAGUGCCUUUGAUACUGAUGGGCUUGAAUCCAUUUGAAGUGGGCGGAAUAAGACAAGUAGCGGUGAAAUGCAUAGAUAUGUCUUAGAACUCCGAUUGCGAAGGCAGCUCACUAAGCUGGUAUUGACGCUGAUGCACGAAAGCGUGGGGAUCGAACAGGAUUAGAUACCCUGGUAGUCCACGCCCUAAACGAUGAUAACUCGAUGUUGGCGAUAGACAGCCAGCGUCCAAGCGAAAGCGUUAAGUUAUCCACCUGGGGAGUACGCCCGCAAGGGUGAAACUCAAAUGAAUUGACGGGGUCAUAGCGUUUCCUG